Molecule: long non-coding RNA, 531 nt
Organism: Papaver somniferum (opium poppy)
Lineage: Eukaryota; Viridiplantae; Streptophyta; Magnoliopsida; Ranunculales; Papaveraceae
Exons: 2
Source: RefSeq, a predicted model, not a curated record
CAAAACCAUACAAUGUGAAGCUAAAUGGGUUCAAGUUCAUAGAUGAUUGGGAAGAUUUUUUUCAAGGCUCAUAAACUGAGUAUGGAAUCUCUAACCCAUUUGACAUCAACCCAAUCCUGAUGGUGCCUCAACUGAGAAUGGUCAUAUUAAUCAACUGUUCUGACCUUUAUUUGAAGAAGCCGAUAUACUUUGUCAAGAUCCAAGAUUUCAGCAUCAACGUCUUGGAUCAAGCUGUAACUUUAAACCUUUGGACAGUUAAAGAUGGCCAAAGAAGAUUUAUUUGGCGAUCUUAGUACUUAUUUCAUCAUCGUAGAUGAUGAUUGAAGAAGAAGGUCAAUAUGAAGAGCUUUUGGUGAUGAUAUUGUUAUAUGAAGAACAAGGUCACGUGAAGAACAUGGAAUUGGGCUGAGAUUCAUCGUCUAUUUCAAAAAAAAUAGAACUCUUUUCUUGAGAAUACUUUUGUUUGUACAUUUUUUAUGGUUAUACUUUUGUUUCUUGAGAAUAGAACUUGUUCAGAGUCUGAACUUCAGA